CCUACGGGGGGCUGCAGUGGGGAAUAUUGGACAAUGGGGGCAACCCUGAUCCAGCCAUGCCGCGUGAGUGAUGAAGGCCCUAGGGUUGUAAAGCUCUUUCGGUGGGGAAGAUAAUGACGGUACCCACAGAAGAAGCCCCGGCUAACUUCGUGCCAGCAGCCGCGGUAAUACGAAGGGGGCUAGCGUUGCUCGGAAUCACUGGGCGUAAAGCGCACGUAGGCGGCUUUCUAAGUCAGGGGUGAAAUCCCGGAGCUCAACUCCGGAACUGCCUUUGA
This 275-nucleotide ribosomal RNA is filed under the name uncultured Rhodoplanes sp. Its description in RNAcentral is "partial 16S ribosomal RNA". It matches the Rfam family "Bacterial small subunit ribosomal RNA", at positions 338 to 630 of the family's 1533-position model. The record is from RNAcentral. Lineage: Bacteria; Pseudomonadati; Pseudomonadota; Alphaproteobacteria; Hyphomicrobiales; Nitrobacteraceae.